This 275-nucleotide ribosomal RNA is filed under the name uncultured Micromonospora sp. Its description in RNAcentral is "partial 16S ribosomal RNA". It matches the Rfam family "Bacterial small subunit ribosomal RNA", at positions 338 to 625 of the family's 1533-position model. The record is from RNAcentral. Lineage: Bacteria; Bacillati; Actinomycetota; Actinomycetes; Micromonosporales; Micromonosporaceae.
CCUACGGGUGGCUGCAGUGGGGAAUAUUGCACAAUGGGCGGAAGCCUGAUGCAGCGACGCCGCGUGAGGGAUGACGGCCUUCGGGUUGUAAACCUCUUUCAGCAGGGACGAAGCGUAAGUGACGGUACCUGCAGAAGAAGCGCCGGCCAACUACGUGCCAGCAGCCGCGGUAAGACGUAGGGCGCGAGCGUUGUCCGGAUUUAUUGGGCGUAAAGAGCUCGUAGGCGGCUUGUCGCGUCGACCGUGAAAACUUGGGGCUCAACCCCAAGCCUGCG